GUCCCCGUAGCUCAGCCCGGAUAGAGCAACGGAUUUCUAAUCCGUCGGUCGCUGGUUCGAAUCCAGCCGGGGACG
This 75-nucleotide transfer RNA is filed under the name Phycisphaeraceae bacterium. RNAcentral describes it as "tRNA-Arg". It matches the Rfam family "tRNA". From Rfam's summary of the family: Transfer RNA (tRNA) molecules are approximately 80 nucleotides in length. Lineage: Bacteria; Pseudomonadati; Planctomycetota; Phycisphaerae; Phycisphaerales; Phycisphaeraceae. RNAcentral also lists the same sequence under 1 other name. The record is from RNAcentral.